This 253-nucleotide ribosomal RNA is filed under the name uncultured bacterium. RNAcentral's name for it is "partial 16S ribosomal RNA". It matches the Rfam family "Bacterial small subunit ribosomal RNA", at positions 524 to 776 of the family's 1533-position model. The record is from RNAcentral.
GACAGAGGUGCCGAGCGUUAGGCGGAAUCACUGGGCUUAAAGCGUGUGUAGGCGGGUCGUUAAGUGCCUUGUGAAAUCCCACAGCUCACCUGUGGAACUGCUUGGCAUACUGGCGGUCUUGAGCCACUUAGGGGCAACCGGAACAAACGGUGGAGCGGUGAAAUGCGUAGAUAUCGUUUGGAACGCCAAUGGUGAAAACAGGUUGCUGGGAGUGCGCUGACGCUGAGACACGAAAGCCGGGGGAGCGAACGGG